RNAcentral lists this transfer RNA (73 nucleotides) under Camelus bactrianus (Bactrian camel). It matches the Rfam family "tRNA". Rfam says of the family: Transfer RNA (tRNA) molecules are approximately 80 nucleotides in length. Their secondary structure includes four short double-helical elements and three loops (D, anti-codon, and T loops). Further hydrogen bonds mediate the characteristic L-shaped molecular structure. tRNAs have two regions of fundamental functional importance: the anti-codon, which is responsible for specific mRNA codon recognition, and the 3' end, to which the tRNAs corresponding amino acid is attached (by aminoacyl-tRNA synthetases). tRNAs cope with the degeneracy of the genetic code in two manners: having more than one tRNA (with a specific anti-codon) for a particular amino acid; and 'wobble' base-pairing, i.e. permitting non-standard base-pairing at the 3rd anti-codon position. The record is from Rfam by way of RNAcentral. Lineage: Eukaryota; Metazoa; Chordata; Mammalia; Artiodactyla; Camelidae. RNAcentral also lists the same sequence under 2 other names.
GAGGGUACAGCUCAAGUGGUAGAGCACUUGCUUAGCAUGCGCAAGGUCCUGGGUUCAAUCCCCAGUACCUCCA